This 593-nucleotide long non-coding RNA is filed under the name Rattus norvegicus (Norway rat). RNAcentral describes it as "long non-coding RNA NONRATT006331". Lineage: Eukaryota; Metazoa; Chordata; Mammalia; Rodentia; Muridae. The record is from RNAcentral.
ACUCUGGCCCAUAUUAUAGAAGCUCCACUCUUAACCCUGACUCCACACCUACCAUUAACUCCUCCCGUGAAGACACUUUCAUGGUCAAGAGCAGGAAGUCCUUCAAGUAGCUCUGCAGGAGUUCCUGCUGCUGUGCCGUGGGGAACUGAGCAAGAUACAGGCCCAAGGGAGUUUUCUGGAAGAUUUCCACAAACUUUUUUGAUAAUCCUACAGAGAGGAAGACAAAGAGGCAUGAGCAAGAAACCACGUCUAUGGAAGAUAGUUACUGCCCCCAAAAGGAGCCAUUAUACCCAGGCUGGAGGGGUGGUGGCUCUGCUGAACUGGAGCCCAGGGAAAACAUGGUGCUCGCCACUGGCCAGAUGGUAGGGAAAACAAAGGCAGAACCAAUGUUGACGUUAGGUCACAAGCAGCCAGGCUAGCCCCGAGGGAAGAAGAGGCCUGGGAGCCACAUCUGUGCUGCAUGCACAGAGUGAGUAGGAAGGUGGGCUGCUCCUUGAGCUGGAGUCAGAGGCCACAGCAACUAGAGUCCUGCCUGCCCACAGCUCUGGUCACUUGUUGCCCUAGACAAGCAGGGGCAGAUGGACUGUAGUCAC